This 972-nucleotide small RNA is filed under the name Pan troglodytes (chimpanzee). Its description in RNAcentral is "retained intron". Lineage: Eukaryota; Metazoa; Chordata; Mammalia; Primates; Hominidae. The record is from RNAcentral.
CUUUCCCAGACCGAGAACCGCGCCGGCACCAUGUCAGCUUACCCUAAAAGCUACAAUCCGUUCGACGACGACGGGGAGGACGAAGGCGCCCGGCCGGCCCCUUGGAGGGACGCCCGAGACCUCCCCGACGGGCCCGACGCGCCCGCGGACAGGCAGCAGUACUUGCGGCAGGAAGUCCUCCGCAGGGCUGAGGCCACGGCCGCCAGCACCAGCAGGUCCCUGGCCCUCAUGUACGAGUCCGAGAAGGUUGGGGUCGCCUCUUCCGAGGAGCUCGCCCGUCAGCGAGGAGUCCUGGAGCGCACAGAGAAGAUGGUGGACAAGAUGGACCAAGAUUUGAAGAUCAGCCAGAAACACAUCAAUAGCAUUAAGAGCGUGUUUGGGGGGCUGGUCAAUUACUUCAAAUCCAAACCAGUAGAGACCCCACCUGAACAGAAUGGCACCCUCACCUCCCAGCCCAACAGCAGGUGAGUGCAUCUUCUACCAUCUGGGUAUAAAGGAGCAGAAGUGGGGAUUAGUGCAAAUGACUAAGACUUUCAGUCCACGUCAGUGCCAUGAAGGGAUCCAACAACCCUUUAAGUUACUCAUCAGGGGAUAUUUGUCCUCAAACAUUGUGAAACCAGGAACUGUUCUUCCCUGAUCCCAUGUUCACUUGAUUGACAUCUAGUCUGUCAAUUGCUUCUCCAAUAAUUGUGACCCCACUACUUUGAAAGAGAGGGUGUUCACCUCAGCGUAAUCUGUACAAAUGUGACUCACUUCACAUAAUUUUUGCUUUAAAAAAUCUUUAGGGCUGGGUGCAGUGGCUCACACCUGUAAUCCCGACACUUCAGGAUGCCAAGGUGGGUAGAUUGCUUAAGCCCAGGAGUUCGAGACCAGCCUGGGCAACAUAGUGGGAACCCAGGCUUUACAAAAAUUACCCAGGCAUUGUGGUGCACACCUGUAGUCCCAGCUCCUCAGGAGGCUGAGGUAAGAGGA